UACAGAGGGGGCAAGCGUUGUUCGGAAUUACUGGGCGUAAAGGGCGCGUAGGCGGCCUUCUAAGUCGAACGUGAAAUCCCCGGGCUCAACCCGGGAACUGCCUUCGAUACUGCGGGUCUCGAGUCCGGGAGAGGUGAGUGGAAUUCCGUAGUGUAGAGGUGAAAUUCGUAGAUAUUAGGAAGAACACCAGUGGCGAAGGCGGCUCACUGGCCCGGUACUGACGCUGAGGCGGCGAAAAGCGUGGGGAGCAA
RNAcentral lists this ribosomal RNA (251 nucleotides) under uncultured bacterium. RNAcentral describes it as "partial 16S ribosomal RNA". It matches the Rfam family "Bacterial small subunit ribosomal RNA", at positions 524 to 771 of the family's 1533-position model. The record is from RNAcentral.